AACACUGUUAACCUGCGGUACCUGCGGAGGGAUCAUUACCGAGUUUACAACUCCCAAACCCCUGUGAACAUACCUAUACGUUGCCUCGGCGGAUCAGCCCGCGCCCUGUAAAAAGGGACGGCCCGCCCGAGGACCCUAAACUCUGUUUUUAGUGGAACUUCUGAGUAAAACAAACAAAUAAAUCAAAACUUUCAGCAAUGGAUCU
Molecule: unclassified non-coding RNA, 205 nt
Filed under: soil metagenome
Description: partial contains 5.8S ribosomal RNA, internal transcribed spacer 2, and large subunit ribosomal RNA
Source: RNAcentral